RNAcentral lists this ribosomal RNA (433 nucleotides) under uncultured bacterium. RNAcentral's name for it is "bacterial SSU rRNA". It matches the Rfam family "Bacterial small subunit ribosomal RNA", at positions 358 to 782 of the family's 1533-position model. The record is from RNAcentral.
GGAAUUGUUCGCAAUGGGCGCAAGCCUGACGACGCAACGCCGCGUGGAGGAUGAAGAUUUUCGGAUCGUAAACUCCUGUCGAAUGGGACGAAUGGCUCGGCCGUGAAUAACGGCCGGGAAUGACGGUACCGUGAGAGGAAGCCCCGGCUAACUCCGUGCCAGCAGCCGCGGUAAUACGGGGGGGGCAAGCGUUGUUCGGAAUUACUGGGCGUAAAGGGCUCGUAGGUGGCCACCUAAGUCCGACGUGAAAUCCCUCGGCUCAACCGGGGAACUGCGUCGGAUACUGGGUGGCUUGAAUCCGGGAGAGGGACGUGGAAUUCCAGGUGUAGCGGUGAAAUGCGUAGAUAUCUGGAGGAACACCGGUGGCGAAGGCGGCGUCCUGGACCGGUAUUGACACUGAGGAGCGAAAGCCAGGGGAGCAAACGGGAUUAGA